GUAUGGUGCAAGCGUUAUCCGGAUUUACUGGGUGUAAAGGGAGCGCGGGCGGUGCGGCAAGUCUGAUGUGAAAGCCCGGGGCUCAACCCCGGUACUGCAUUGGAAACUGUCGUACUAGAGUGUCGGAGGGGUAAGCGGAAUUCCUAGUGUAGCGGUGAAAUGCGUAGAUAUUAGGAGGAACACCAGUGGCGAAGGCGGCUUACUGGACGGUAACUGACGUUGAGGCUCGAAAGCGUGGGGAGCAAACAGGAUUAGAUACCCUGGUAGUCCACGCCGUAAACGAUGACUACUAGGUGUCGGGCAGCAAAGCUGUUCGGUGCCGCAGCAAACGCAAUAAGUAGUCCACCUGGGGAGU
Molecule: ribosomal RNA, 355 nt
Filed under: uncultured bacterium
Lineage: Bacteria
Description: bacterial SSU rRNA
Rfam family: Bacterial small subunit ribosomal RNA
Source: RNAcentral